RNAcentral lists this non-coding RNA (154 nucleotides) under Zostera marina. RNAcentral's name for it is "Eukaryotic large subunit ribosomal RNA". It matches the Rfam family "Eukaryotic large subunit ribosomal RNA", at positions 3008 to 3160 of the family's 3401-position model. The record is from Rfam by way of RNAcentral. Lineage: Eukaryota; Viridiplantae; Streptophyta; Magnoliopsida; Alismatales; Zosteraceae.
GUGCUGCGAUAGUAAUUCAACCUAGUACGAGAGGAACCGUUGAUUCACACAAUUGGUCAUCGUGCUUGGUUGAAAAGUCAUUGGCGCGAAGCUACCGUGUGUUGGAUUAUGACUGAACGCCUCUAAGUCAGAAUCCAAGCUAGUAAUACGGCAC